GACGAACGCUGGCGGCGUGCCUAAUACAUGCAAGUCGAACGCUUCUUUCCUCCCGAGUGCUUGCCUUCGAUUGGAAAGAGGAGUGGCGGACGGGUGAGUAACACGUGGGUAACCUACCCAUCAGAGGGGGAUAACACUUGGAAACAGGUGCUAAUACCGCAUAACAGUUUAUGCCGCAUGGCAUAAGAGUGAAAGGCGCUUUCGGGUGUCGUUGAUGGAUGGACCCGCGGUGCAUUAGCUAGUUGGUUAGGUAACGGCGCACCAAGGCCACGAUGCAUAGCCGACCUGAGAGGGUGAUCGGCCACACUGGAACUGAGACACGGCCCAGACUCCUACGGGAGGCAGCAGUAGGGAAUCUUCGGCAAUGGACGAAAGUCUGACCGAGCAACGCCGCGUGAGUGAAGAAGGUUUUCGGAUCGUAAAACUCUGUUGUUAGAGAAGAACAAGGACGUUAGUAACUGAACGUCCCCUGACGGUAUCUAACCAGAAAGCCACGGCUAACUACGUG
RNAcentral lists this ribosomal RNA (508 nucleotides) under uncultured bacterium. RNAcentral's name for it is "partial 16S ribosomal RNA". It matches the Rfam family "Bacterial small subunit ribosomal RNA", at positions 28 to 507 of the family's 1533-position model. The record is from RNAcentral.